This is a long non-coding RNA of Portunus trituberculatus (swimming crab), 547 nucleotides long. RefSeq lists it as uncharacterized. The transcript is spliced from 3 exons. The record is from RefSeq and is a predicted model, not a curated record. NCBI's taxonomy places the organism in Eukaryota, Metazoa, Arthropoda, Malacostraca, Decapoda, Portunidae.
CACGCCCCUCGACGCCCAUCAGUGAUAGCUGAUCGGCAGUUUCCUCCAUCACAGCAGUCAUCUCAACGAGCAGCGCCGUCAGGGGAUCCGAGCUACCACCACUACCGCCACUGCACCAGGAUAAACAUUAGAGAAAAAAGAAAAGCAGACAUCAAAACGUGAGACGCUCCUCGGUUUGCUACUCGUAUCGUCCUAAACCUGCCCAGGGAACAAGAAGAGCAAUGGAAGGCUGGACUAGGCAAGGCAGAGUCUCAUCGCUGCUGGUGAUGGUCCUGAUCAUGAGCGAGUGUCGCCUUCGAGCAGCAGCAGCAGAAACAAAGGUAGAAGUGUUGCAGGAGGUUCAGAAAGCACUGGAUCACGCAGACCUGUCUCUGGCAAACUUGAGAGACUUGAUCAUAGGAAUCAUCUCCACGGAGGAAACAAAUACUACCACUGCUGCUACUACUGACUCGCCUCCUCCACCCACCACCACCACCACCACCACGACCACCCCUAAACCAACCACCACCACCACCACCACCCCCAUCCCCAAGCCGACCACCACCAC